CUAAUCAAACCGGGAGAUAGCUGGUUCUCCCCGAAAUCUAUUUAGGUAGAGCCUCGGACGAAUACUUACGGGGGUAGAGCACUGUUAAGGCUAGGGGGUCAUCCCGACUUACCAACCCUUUGCAAACUCCGAAUACCGUAAAGUAAUAUCCGGGAGACACACGGCGGGUGCUAACGUCCGUCGUGAAGAGGGAAACAACCCAGACCGCCAGCUAAGGUCCCAAAGUCAUAGUUAAGUGGGAAACGAUGUGGAAAGGCCCAGACAGCCAGGAGGUUGGCUUAGAAGCAGCCAUCCUUUAAAGAAAGCGUAAUAGCUCACUGGUCGAGUCGGUCUGCGCGGAAGAUGUAACGGGGCUAAACUAUGCACCGAAGCUGCGGAUUCAGAAUUUAUUCUGAGUGGUAGGGGAGCGUUCUGUAAGCCGUUGAAGGUGUACCGGGAGGUAUGCUGGAGGUAUCAGAAGUGCGAAUGCUGACAUGAGUAACGAUAAGGGGAGUGAAAAACUCCCCCGCCGGAAGACCAAGGUUUCCUGUCCCAUGCUAAUCAGGGCAGGGUAAGUCGGCCCCUAAGGCGAGGCAGAAAUGCGUAGUCGAUGGGAAACGGAUUAAUAUUUCCGUACUUGGUAUAUCAGUGAAGGGGGGACGGAGAAGGUUAUGCAAGCCUGGCGUUGGUUGUCCAGGUGAAAGUGCGUAGAGUUGUUUCUUAGGCAAAUCCGGGAAACUACAUGCUCGAGACACGAGACGAGACUCUAAGGAGUUGAAGUUGCAAAUACCAUGCUUCCAGGAAAAGCCUCUAAACUUAUGAUAUAUCGAACCGUACCCCAAACCGACACAGGUGGUCAGGUAGAGAAUACUAAGGCGCUUGAGAGAAC
This 868-nucleotide ribosomal RNA is filed under the name uncultured eukaryote. RNAcentral describes it as "partial Bacterial large subunit ribosomal RNA". It matches the Rfam family "Bacterial large subunit ribosomal RNA", at positions 829 to 1699 of the family's 2925-position model. The record is from RNAcentral.